GCAAGUCGAGCGCUACCUUCGGGUGGAGCGGCGGACGGGUUAGUAACGCGUGGGAACAUACCCUUCUCUAAGGAAUAGCCAUUGGAAACGAUGAGUAAUACCGUAUACGCCCUUCGGGGGAAAGAUUUAUCGGAGAAGGAUCGGCCCGCGUUAGAUUAGAUAGUUGGUGGGGUAAUGGCCUACCAAGGCGACGAUCUAUAGCUGGUCUGAGAGGAUGAUC
This 220-nucleotide ribosomal RNA is filed under the name uncultured bacterium. RNAcentral's name for it is "partial 16S ribosomal RNA". It matches the Rfam family "Bacterial small subunit ribosomal RNA", at positions 57 to 305 of the family's 1533-position model. The record is from RNAcentral.